CCUAAUGUUCUAACUUAAUUCCCAAAGUCCUUAUAAAUAGGCCUUUCCAACAUGCUUACUUCAACAUUUAAAAACAAAAUGGCAUCCUACAAGACUCUCAUUUUAACCAUCUUGAUCAUUUGCUUUGCUUCACGCAUGGUUGCCGUUUCAGGAGCAAACGGAAAAUUAUGCUUCAUAUCGAAUUUUUGUCCAACUGCACCAGAACAGUGUGACCAUUUUUGUAAAGUAUCAUUGGGAAAACCAAAAGGUGGCUCGUGUUUAGGGGGUGAAUGUUGUUGCAAUUUGUAAAGUUUUAAUAUAAAAUAAACAAUUUCUUUGUUUCUUUGAAUACAUCUAUCUACAAACACUCCAUCUGAAAUUUACAUAAAUUUUUGUUGAAGUAUCAA
This is a long non-coding RNA of Lathyrus oleraceus (garden pea), 386 nucleotides long. RefSeq lists it as uncharacterized. The record is from RefSeq and is a predicted model, not a curated record. Lineage: Eukaryota; Viridiplantae; Streptophyta; Magnoliopsida; Fabales; Fabaceae. The transcript is spliced from 2 exons.